GGCAUGAGUCAGCCUAGUGUCAGAGUAAAAAGGGAGCAAGAUUUGAAUAUGGCCAGCACAGCCGUCAUGUUGAGAGCUAUCUGUGAAAGUUCAGUUGAGCGUAAGCACGGUUACUGCAGGUUGGACGCCGCUAGGAUGGCUAGAGGAGCAUGAAGGGAUUGACCAUGCAUCAAUCAGAAGAAGAAUGUUUUUGAGAUGUUGUUAUCAGAGUAGUACAAC
Molecule: long non-coding RNA, 219 nt
Filed under: Eucalyptus grandis
Lineage: Eukaryota; Viridiplantae; Streptophyta; Magnoliopsida; Myrtales; Myrtaceae
Description: long non-coding RNA (EGRA_LNC007722)
Source: RNAcentral